GAUGAACGCUGGCGGCGUGCCUAAUACAUGCAAGUCGAGCGAACGGACGAGAAGCUUGCUUCUCUGAUGUUAGCGGCGGACGGGUGAGUAACACGUGGAUAACCUACCUAUAAGACUGGGAUAACUUCGGGAAACCGGAGCUAAUACCGGAUAAUAUUUUGAACCGCAUGGUUCAAAAGUGAAAGACGGUCUUGCUGUCACUUAUAGAUGGAUCCGCGCUGCAUUAGCUAGUUGGUAAGGUAACGGCUUACCAAGGCAACGAUGCAUAGCCGACCUGAGAGGGUGAUAGGCCACACUGGAAGUGAGACACGGUCCAGACUCCUACGGGAGGCAGCAGUAGGGAAUCUUCCGCAAUGGGCGAAAGCCUGACGGAGCAACGCCGCGUGAGUGAUGAAGGUCUUCGGAUCGUAAAACUCUGUUAUUAGGGAAGAACAUAUGUGUAAGUAACUGUGCACAUCUUGACGGUAACUAAUCAGAAAGCCACGGCUAACUACGUG
This 497-nucleotide ribosomal RNA is filed under the name uncultured bacterium. Its description in RNAcentral is "partial 16S ribosomal RNA". It matches the Rfam family "Bacterial small subunit ribosomal RNA", at positions 28 to 507 of the family's 1533-position model. The record is from RNAcentral.